Long non-coding RNA from Etheostoma spectabile (orangethroat darter), 340 nucleotides. RefSeq lists it as uncharacterized. The record is from RefSeq and is a predicted model, not a curated record. NCBI's taxonomy places the organism in Eukaryota, Metazoa, Chordata, Actinopteri, Perciformes, Percidae. The transcript is spliced from 3 exons.
GGUUUUUUGGCACAAGUGCCUACUGCCAAGUUGCUUCAUCAUCGUACCCAUAUUCCAGAAAAAUCAAUGCUGCUCAGCCGAAUGUUGCAUAGAUCACUUAUGAGACAGCUGGCUAGUAACUCAUUUAAAGUGGCAUUGAAUAAAUUUGGCUUUUACUGGAUUCAGUGAACACGCCACUCUGCUACUAAGAGCGGAGUCCUUGGUGUUAAUCACUGAUAAUCACCGUGUCACACAGGACGUCAGCACUGCAACAGUGAAGCACCGUGCCUUGUGUGCAUAGGCAUAGAUUUUGGGGGAGAAUGCAGGGGAUCUGUGUUUCCCCCCUCUAGUUGCAAGACAU